GACGAACGCUGGCGGCGUGCUUAACACAUGCAAGUCGAACGGUGAAGCGCCUUCCUUUUUGGUGGGUGUGGAUGAGUGGCGAACGGGUGAGUAACACGUGAGUAACCUGCCCCCUUCUUCUGGAUAACCGCAUGAAAGUGUGGCUAAUACGGGAUAUUCUGGGUCUGUCGCAUGAUGGGUCUGGGAAAGAUAUUGUUUCGGUGGGGGAUGGGCUCGCGGCCUAUCAGCUUGUUGGUGGGUGAUGGCCUACCAAGGCGGUGACGGGUAGCCGGCCUGAGAGGGUGGACGGUCACACUGGGACUGAGACACGGCCCAGACUCCUACGGGAGGCAGCAGUGGGGAAUAGUGCACAAUGGGCGCAAGCCUGAUGCAGCGACGCCGCGUGAGGGAUGGAGGCCUUCGGGUUGUGAACCUCUUUCGCCAGUGAAGCAGGCCUGCCUCGUUUGUGGGUGGGUUGACGGUAGCUGGAGAAGAAGCGCCGGCUAACUACGUG
RNAcentral lists this ribosomal RNA (493 nucleotides) under uncultured bacterium. RNAcentral's name for it is "partial 16S ribosomal RNA". It matches the Rfam family "Bacterial small subunit ribosomal RNA", at positions 28 to 507 of the family's 1533-position model. The record is from RNAcentral.